CGGACGGGUGAGUAACGCGUGAGUAACCUGCCCUUCAGAGGGGGAUAACGUUCUGAAAAGAAACGCUAAUACCGCAUAACAUCAAUUUAUCGCAUGAUAGGUUGAUCAAAGGAGCAAUCCGCUGGAAGAUGGACUCGCGUCCGAUUAGCCAGUUGGCGGGGUAACGGCCCACCUAGUCGACGAUCGGUAGCCGGACUGAGAGGUUGAACGGCCACAUUGGAACUGAGACACGGCCCAGACUCCUACGGGAGGCAGCAUG
Molecule: ribosomal RNA, 259 nt
Filed under: uncultured bacterium
Lineage: Bacteria
Description: partial 16S ribosomal RNA
Rfam family: Bacterial small subunit ribosomal RNA
Source: RNAcentral